Molecule: ribosomal RNA, 505 nt
Filed under: uncultured bacterium
Lineage: Bacteria
Description: partial 16S ribosomal RNA
Rfam family: Bacterial small subunit ribosomal RNA
Source: RNAcentral
AGUGAACGCUGGCGGUAGGCCUAACACAUGCAAGUCGAACGGCAGCACAGGAGAGCUUGCUCUCUGGGUGGCGAGUGGCGGACGGGUGAGGAAUACAUCGGAAUCUACUCUGUCGUGGGGGAUAACGUAGGGAAACUUACGCUAAUACCGCAUACGACCUACGGGUGAAAGCAGGGGACCUUCGGGCCUUGCGCGAUUGAAUGACCCGAUGUCGGAUUAGCUAGUUGGCGGGGUAAAGGCCCACCAAGGCGACGAUCCGUGGCUGGUCUGAGAGGAUGAUCAGCCACAAUGGAACUGAGACACGGUCCAGACUCCUACGGAGGCAGCAGUGGGGAAUAUUGGACAAUGGGCGCAAGCCUGAUCCAGCCAUACCGCGUGGGUGAAGAAGGCCUUCGGGUUGUAAAGCCCUUUUGUUGGGAAAGAAAUCCAGCUGGCUAAUACCCGGUUGGGAUGACGGUACCCAAAGAAUAAGCACCGGCUAACUUCGUGCCAGCCGCCGCCGUAA